RNAcentral lists this ribosomal RNA (336 nucleotides) under Triticum aestivum (bread wheat). RNAcentral's name for it is "partial small subunit ribosomal RNA". The record is from RNAcentral. Lineage: Eukaryota; Viridiplantae; Streptophyta; Magnoliopsida; Poales; Poaceae.
AUGAUAUCAAUGGCGAGCUUGGUCAUCACCGUCUUGGUGCUUCUGGUUCGAAGCGAUAUGUAUAUGUGGGUUUGGGUUCUGUCCACUGUAUGGUCUCAUGGAUCUGCUAUGAUCAAUGCCCACUGCAGCAGGAUUGUUCACCUUCUGCUCAUAUCUCUGUGCCGCCAAGAUCAGUUUUGCGGUCUAGUUCUCCCUUGUGGCAACUAUGCCUGUUGUACAGUGUGUAGAGAGCACAUACUUGUGCAUGUGGUUGUUUGGAUCAACACUUUGAUUCUUGGAUCAAGCGUGUGUCCUGACAAUGAUGAUGGGAACUCGAGUAUUCUUAUGUUUCGGUGA